CCUCCAGCCUCACCAGAGCGCACGCUCCUGGAGAGGAGACCCAGCCCUCCUGUCCUCACGGACAGCCCCACGUCUCCUCCUCUCCACACACCACGUGCAUAAGUUCUUUCAGUCUGCAAAUUAAAUAGCUCCAUGCUGAGCUCAAAUUGUUAUUUCUGCUAUUAAUUUCUGUCUACUGACAAACCCAAAUAGGUGAUGCAGGAAAUUCAAGGCAACAAAGACUUCUGUUUGCAGUAAUACAGAACUCUCAGCUGAGGGGGGGGAAGGAUCAGAGUAAAAGGCUAAUAUACUGAGCCUAUGUACACUACAGAAUAUCUGUGUUGAGUCCAGCAAGCAAAAAGUCUAGCAGAUUCAAAGCAGUAUUAAGAAGUGUUAAUCCUUUUACCUCUGAGCUAUUCAUGAGCAAUAUGCAAAGCUGUUCUUAUGGCGUCGCGUUUGCAAUGCUCUAGUUAUGCUUGCAUCAGCAUUUCCAUUGUGAACCCUGCUUUCAGAGUUUUUUCACUUUGCCAAGUUUUAGUCUGGAACAAUUUUACCACAAGCCUAUGAGAUUUUAGUCCAGGAUUAGGAUUUCAGUCUGGUGAAGAAACAUUUGGACAAAAUCUGCUUGGCUGUUUUAUUUAUUAUAGUGCAAAGUUAAUCCUUCCGAUUUACUGGACUGGAAAAAUACUCAAAAAUAUAAUUUUUUUUCCAGCUUUAAGAAAGAAAACAAGAUUUACUCAUUUACUCUCCCUGAGAAUGUCUUCUCACCAGAUCUCUACAGCCAUAAAGCAGAUGAAGGGCAUAAGCAAGAAAACCAAGGCAAAAAUGAAGAAAUAUACAAUCAGGCAGCAUUUCACUUCCCGCAGUAUUCUUUGCAGCAAAUUAUUACCAUCUACAAGUUGGCAUUAGCAACAGAGGUGAAAACAUGCAGCCAUAAAACCUGUGUGUGACCACCGCAGCUCCACGGAUUUGGGAAAGGAGUACGUGUGAUGGAGAAGGGGUGAGCGAGGACAUCACCCCAGCUAUGAGAAAUGCAGGUCACAAUAAUCACAAGCUGGUGACCUCAAAGUGCUGGGGACAGGGGGGAGCUCCCUAGACCGAGCAGAGGAGGCCCUGCCUGACACACGCGGAGGCAUGGUUGAGGGGCUGGAGCACACCUCGCUCACCCUGUUCCCCCAGCAGUCACAGGAGGACAAGUGAACACACGUGGUCUGCACAUCUCCAAGGACCUCCCUCACAGGCAAGUAGCUUCUCUUUCCAUCACAGGCAGAGAACAUCCAGAGUUGUUCCCCGAGCACAUGAAGUUGUCCAUUGUGAGAGCUGCCAGGUAUCUUUGCACCGGGGCUCUAUGCCAUGAGGACAAGCAGCCUUGAGGGUCACCCACAAGGUCUGGCUGUCCAGACAAGGCCCUCCUGAUGUCUCAGGAACACUAGGAGACUUCUGCUCCAAAGCAUAUGGUGCACAAAGGAGAACGGGUUCAUCAGUCAGUUCCAACAAGACACAGCCUUGUCCCAAGGCUCUCCUCAAGGCCAACUCCUACUCUGGAGAAAAGACCGACUCCCAGCCAGGAGGGUUUGGGCCCCUCCCCAGCUCCCAGCUGAGGAGAUCACCACCACAGGCCAUGAUCCACAUGGGGUAACCUUGGGCACAACACCUCAUGGAGAUACAGCAUGCCCACCGUCAUGCCCCACCAGUGCAAAGGGAGGAACACUUUUAACCAUAUCUUGUGGGAACUAAGGACAACGGGGCAAGAACAGACACACACAAUGUCUCCUUGCAUGACAGUCUGACAACUACCACAGGGCAAACUGACAACGAACUGAAGACAAAGCCCGCUUCUUCCAUGCACCCCAGGACAAAAGGGACUGAAGACUGUUAAACGGAUUUGGAGAACAUCCAGAACGCCACAGUGAUCCCGAAAGAACAAAGAUUUCAUCAGAAAUCAGUUCGAAUUUGCCCUCAACAAAGCGCAGGUAAAGGUUUGGAUUUAAUUGUUAUUUCUGGCAUUCUACCAAGGAAUAAAAUAAAAACAGCUAUCA
Molecule: long non-coding RNA, 2018 nt
Filed under: Anas platyrhynchos platyrhynchos (common mallard)
Lineage: Eukaryota; Metazoa; Chordata; Aves; Anseriformes; Anatidae
Description: lncRNA (ENSAPLG00000030567.1)
Source: RNAcentral